ACUGAAAACGAACUUUGAAAUCAAACCAUCUUAAAUCUCAAUUCUUCCCUUACAGUCUCAGUUUCCCCAUUUGUGAAAAGAAAAAUGCAUAUAUCAACUUUUUAGAAAAUUAAAUGACAUAAUGUCAAUUAAUGCUUAAAAAAUAUCACUGAGCACUGAGGAAAUGGAAAAGAUUGUGGCAUUGGACAAGUCGAGCCAGGAGGUGGAAGGAAUCUGAGCCUGGAGUCAAUAGAUAAGUGAAUAGAUAAAAUCACUGCAACCAGUCUGCUCUGCACCAUAGGGCCUGCAAACUCAGGAGUCCUCUGGAGUCAGGCAGAUCUUGAGCUGCUGUUUAUUGCUAAUUCGAAGUUGACAAGUUAUUUAAUUGUGAAGCUGAACUUGAAGUCAGAGUGCGGCAGAAUGGAUGGAGGUAGACUGUUUCGUUUUGCUUUCAACAGGUUACCUGAAGACCGGAUGCAUGGUGUGGUAUGAGCAGGUUUCUGGGAAAAGCACGGGAGCCAAGACUUUGGUUGUAAAAAAUCUUGAUGGCCAUAAUACAGGAGGUAAAGUAUUUCUAAACUUUUUAGAAUUAUGUGUUUGAGUCCAUGACAACACACCUAUACAUAUGUAUGUAUAUAUAUAUACAUAUACAUACAUAUAUAUAAAAUCAGCAUCAACCAAAGUGACAUAUAACAUUUCUUUUUUUUUUUUAAUAAAUAUAGGUCCCUGGAAAUGUCUUAAGAAAAAUGAAUUCCUACUUAAAUAUUGGCAUAUUUGAGCUGAGAUUCCUUUGAAGAAAGUUACCAUUUUCAAAUACCACUAUCCAUGAAAGAUAAACAAUCUGGAAAUUAUCACCUGCCUGAAUAUUUUUGGAGUAGAACUGAUGACGUGUUGCUGAACUAUGGGCUGACGUGGGUCCCAAGACACGUGCUGUUCAAACACUUUGGCCAUUGUUGUGGUUUUUUUAUCUACUCAAGAGCCUGUACUAGCACAAGAGCAGGGAUCUUGCUGGACUUUGGGGACACAAUAAUAAUCCCUGCUCUCAGGCAUCUUACAAUCUUCAGUCAACAGUUAAUGGAUCCAAAGUCAGGGAAGAGAAGCACGUCACAGUCAUGGACUACAACAAGGAAAAAUAAAAUGCCACUACCACCUGCUGUUUGUCUGUCAAUAUUUCUACACAAAAAUUUGAAUUUCUGGCUUCUUUCUUAAAAAAAAAAAAAAUCAUAUCUUAGCAUACUAGAUCAGAAAUCCCCCUUGGCAACAGCUGACUGGAACCAGAUGGCAGCAUACUUCCCAGAUCACUGCUCGUGCUUUCUCCAGCUCACCAGUGUUGCCCUCACUCCCAUUAGGUUCACUCGUCACUCAAUGCUAUUACCCCCUUGGUCCCCUUAUUUCAGUAUUGAGUUGCUGCCCCUGCUAGAAAUGAUUGGCAGUCAGAGAGCCUGGCUGUAGCCCUGGGCCUGCUGGACUCAGCCAUUAUUAAAUGUGUGACCUAUGAUGAAUUAUUUAACCCCACU
RNAcentral lists this long non-coding RNA (1496 nucleotides) under Capra hircus (goat). Its description in RNAcentral is "lncRNA (ENSCHIG00000000743.1)". Lineage: Eukaryota; Metazoa; Chordata; Mammalia; Artiodactyla; Bovidae. The record is from RNAcentral.